Molecule: ribosomal RNA, 467 nt
Filed under: uncultured bacterium
Lineage: Bacteria
Description: partial 16S ribosomal RNA
Rfam family: Bacterial small subunit ribosomal RNA
Source: RNAcentral
GACGAACGCUGGCGGCGUGCUUAACACAUGCAAGUCGAACGGAAAGGCCCUGCUUUUGUGGGGUGCUCGAGUGGCGAACGGGUGAGUAACACGUGAGUAACCUGCCCUUGACUUUGGGAUAACUUCAGGAAACUGGGGCUAAUACCGGAUAGGAGCUCCUGCUGCAUGGUGGGGGUUGGAAAGUUUCGGCGGUUGGGGAUGGACUCGCGGCUUAUCAGCUUGUUGGUGGGGUAGUGGCUUACCAAGGCUUUGACGGGUAGCCGGCCUGAGAGGGUGACCGGCCACAUUGGGACUGAGAUACGGCCCAGACUCCUACGGGAGGCAGCAGUGGGGAAUAUUGCACAAUGGGCGGAAGCCGGAUGCAGCAACGCCGCGUGCGGGAUGACGGCCUUCGGGCUGUAAACCGCUUUCGCCUGUGACGAAGCGUGAGUGACGGGAAUGGGUAAAGAAGCACCGGCUAACUACGU